UACGUAGGGAGCAAGCGUUGUCCGGAUUUAUUGGGCGUAAAGCGCGCGUAGGCGGUUUGGUAAGUCGGGUGUGAAACCUCCAAGCUUAACUUGGAGCUGCCACUCGAAACUGCCAUGACUUGAGUCUGGUAGGGGAACACGGAAUACCUGGUGUAGCGGUGAAAUGCUUAGAUAUCAGGUGGAACACCAGUGGCGAAGGCGGUGUUCUGGGCCAGUACUGACGCUGAGGCGCGAAAGCGUGGGGAGCGAACAGG
This 254-nucleotide ribosomal RNA is filed under the name uncultured bacterium. RNAcentral describes it as "partial 16S ribosomal RNA". It matches the Rfam family "Bacterial small subunit ribosomal RNA", at positions 524 to 776 of the family's 1533-position model. The record is from RNAcentral.